UAUUUAAUAAACUAUCAUUCAUUAUUCGGCCAACUUGCAUUACAUGUUAAUUAAUUAUAAUAAUUCGAAAAAAACUUCAAUUAUCAAUCAUAUAUAUAUAUAUUUUAUUUUAUUUUAUUUAUUUAUUUAUUUAUACAUUAUUUUUUUUGAAGUUGCCACAUGGCAACUUUUCCUUCAUUUUUGAGUGUGCUCCACCCGAACCAGCUAAAGUCCUUCAUCUUCCUCUUCCUUCGGCUGUUAUUUUCGUUCAACGAUAAGAUGAAUUCCACGGGUCAUUAUCGCUUUUUUUAUCGCUGUUUUCUCUUUUUUUAUCGAUGUUUUCUAUAUUUUCUCCAAUUAUUUAUCCGUCGUAUCCAACGUAUUACGACGCUAGUAUAUAAUUAUAGAGUAGAACUAGUAUGUUAUUAAGAAUAGGGAGGCCUCCGUGUCCGUGUGCUCCUAAACCGUUUUUGAUGAUGAAACUUCUAAAUUGAUGAUCGAAUACAUUAAACUUGAUCUAACGUAUUUGAAAUAUUUAGAAAAUAAAUUUUACAAUUUUUUGAUAUGAUUUAUCUAUUGAUUGAAACGAUUAAAAAUAGAUGCUUAAAAAUAAAAAUUUUGCAAAAAAUUUAUGAUGUCGCACUAAAAUUUUUAAUUAUAAAUAUUGAUCUUGCUAUAGAUAUUAUAAAAUUUCAUUUGAUUUAAAUAUUUUUAUACCGUUAAACACGUAAACAACACACAUUAACUAUUAAAAUUUGUUUAUUUUGAUAUCUUUCAAUGAAUAAAUAAAAUAAUAUAAAAAAAUCAUAAAAUUUAUUUUUUAGAUAUUUUAAAUACGUUAAAUCAAUUAUAAUGGAGCCAAUCGUUAAUUCGAAAGUUUCAUCAUUAAAAAUAGUUUCAAGGAAUGAAGGCUUUCGUGCUCCUAAUAACACACUACUCCUAUUCUAUAAUUAUAUGCAAUAUUUGUUCAAAGAUAAGAGAAAAAAUAUUAAUAAUAAAAAAAGUUAAAUUUGCUUUUAUAGUUAU
RNAcentral lists this long non-coding RNA (1005 nucleotides) under Ananas comosus (pineapple). RNAcentral describes it as "long non-coding RNA (ACOM_LNC008879)". Lineage: Eukaryota; Viridiplantae; Streptophyta; Magnoliopsida; Poales; Bromeliaceae. The record is from RNAcentral.